CGGUGCUGCUUUCUGGUAUGUCUUGACCUCAAAGCUUGGAUGACGGGUGAUUGGGAUCUCUCAUCUUAGCAGGCUACCUCCAUGGGUUCAGCCUCACUGUCAUGGGUAUCAGCUAACAAAUCUACAGGCAGACCAUCUCUGGUGAGCAUGGCCUUGACGGCUCUGGCCAGUAAGUUCGACCUAUAUCCUCCCAAUUGAGAAAGCGGCGGAAACACGGAAAACAAGGAAGAAGCGGACGCGUGUCUGAUGGGAAAUAAUAGCUACAAUGGCUCCUCCGAUCUCCAGCUGGAGCGUAUGAACGUCUAUUUCAACGAGGUGUGUGGAUGAAACUCUUGAUUUAUACUAUUUCGGCAACAUCUCACGAUCUGACUCGCUACUAGGCCAACGGUGACAAAUAUGUUCCUCGUGCCGUUCUGGUCGAUCUCGAGCCUGGUACCAUGGACGCUGUCCGUGCCGGUCCCUUCGGCGAGCUAUUCCGUCCCGACAACUUCGUCUUCGGCCAGUCCGGUGCUGGUAACAACUGGGCCAAGGGUCACUACA
RNAcentral lists this unclassified non-coding RNA (540 nucleotides) under Aspergillus fumigatus. RNAcentral's name for it is "sequence contains 18S rRNA gene, ITS1, 5.8S rRNA gene, ITS2, 28S rRNA gene". The record is from RNAcentral. Lineage: Eukaryota; Fungi; Ascomycota; Eurotiomycetes; Eurotiales; Aspergillaceae.